GASGGAYUGCCMCACUCAAAKGGGGAGGAWGGUGGGGRUGACGUCAAGUCAGGAUGGCCCUUWCGGCCAGGGCUGCACACGUAYUACAAUGCCCGGCACAAUGGGAAGCAAGACCGCGAGGUGGAGCAAAUCCUAAAAACCGGGCUCAGUUCAGAUUGAAGGCUGCAACUCGCCUUCAUGAAGCUGGAAUCGCUAGUAAUGGCGCAUCAGCUACGGCGCCGUGAAUACGUUCCCAGGCCUUGUACACACCGCCCGUCACAUCAUGAAAGCCGGCUGUACCCGAAGUCAUCGUGCCAACUGCAAAGAGGCAGAUGCCGAAGGUAKGGCUGGUGAUUGGGAUGAAGUCGUAACAAGGUAACAAGMC
This 364-nucleotide ribosomal RNA is filed under the name uncultured bacterium. Its description in RNAcentral is "partial 16S ribosomal RNA". It matches the Rfam family "Bacterial small subunit ribosomal RNA", at positions 1143 to 1505 of the family's 1533-position model. The record is from RNAcentral.